UACGGAAGGUCCGGGCGUUAUCCGGAUUUAUUGGGUUUAAAGGGAGCGUAGGCCGGGGUUCAAGCGUGCUGUGAAAUGUGGCGGCUCAACCGCCGAGCUGCAGCGCGAACUGUUCCUCUUGAGUGCGCUGAAGGCGGGCGGAAUUCGUGGUGUAGCGGUGAAAUGCUUAGAUAUCACGAAGAACUCCGAUUGCGAAGGCAGCUCGCCGUAGCGUUACUGACGCUGAAGCUCGAAGGCGCGGGUAUCGAAC
This 250-nucleotide ribosomal RNA is filed under the name uncultured prokaryote. Its description in RNAcentral is "partial 16S ribosomal RNA". It matches the Rfam family "Bacterial small subunit ribosomal RNA", at positions 524 to 773 of the family's 1533-position model. The record is from RNAcentral.